This is a non-coding RNA of Megalops atlanticus (tarpon), 74 nucleotides long. NCBI's taxonomy places the organism in Eukaryota, Metazoa, Chordata, Actinopteri, Elopiformes, Megalopidae. The record is from the annotation of a GenBank genome assembly.
GGCAGUGUAGCAGAGCGGUUAAGGAGCAGGACUCGUAACCAGAAAGGUUGCCGGUUCGAUUCCUGCUGCUGUGC